RNAcentral lists this unclassified non-coding RNA (278 nucleotides) under Hevea brasiliensis (rubber tree). Lineage: Eukaryota; Viridiplantae; Streptophyta; Magnoliopsida; Malpighiales; Euphorbiaceae. The record is from RNAcentral.
AGAUUUAUCUCCUUCAACUUAAUUGUUUCUGCCAGUUCACAUUGAUGCCUGAAGGCAUUUGCUCUCUCAGCUAUGGUGGCUUUAAUAGAUUGCACAGCACGAACAUAAUCUUUCAAAGGUUCCUCAAAAUUCAUUAGAAGUUGAUGGGCCUCUUUCUGCAGCCUAACAGAUAACACCUCUGAUUUAGUCCCAAGGUCAGAAAAUGCCUUCCCAAGGGCAUGUCCUUCGCAAGCACCAAGGAGUUUGGCCGCCUUUCCAAAAUCUGAUAGAGAUUGCCC